RNAcentral lists this transfer RNA (88 nucleotides) under Oxalobacteraceae bacterium. RNAcentral describes it as "tRNA-Arg". It matches the Rfam family "tRNA", at positions 15 to 71 of the family's 71-position model. Rfam says of the family: Transfer RNA (tRNA) molecules are approximately 80 nucleotides in length. Lineage: Bacteria; Pseudomonadati; Pseudomonadota; Betaproteobacteria; Burkholderiales; Oxalobacteraceae. The record is from RNAcentral.
GAGCGAGCUUGGAGCACCAGCCGAACAUGCUCUGAGCACCGGCCUUCUAAGCCGGGGGUUGUGGGUUCAAAUCCCGCCUCGCCCACCA